This is a long non-coding RNA of Mus musculus (house mouse), 11104 nucleotides long. RefSeq annotates it as predicted gene 3287. NCBI's taxonomy places the organism in Eukaryota, Metazoa, Chordata, Mammalia, Rodentia, Muridae. The record is from RefSeq and is a predicted model, not a curated record. The transcript has 10 exons.
GGCUUACUGCUUCUGUCUGAGGAAAUCUCAAAAUCUUCUCUCUCUUCCCUCUACCCUGCUAAAAACAAAUAAGUUUGGGGUCACAAUAAAAGAGACCACCACUCUAACUGAAGUUUCUGGACAAGGCAGUCCAAACAUUUCUAUGUAAACACUAUCUAAUGAUUAUAACAAUACAUAGAAAAUCUUUCACUACAGCUCACCAUAAAGAGUACGGAACAAUUUCUGAGCAAUAACACAACACAUCAAGAGGACAAAGGGAAGGAGAUGUGUGGGCAUCUCCAUCUUAACAUCCCACCUUCUGAGAAUUGAUGCCCCUCUCCCUACCAUUUCUGGUCUCAACAGUAAUGGCAUUCGGGGUAGAUAUAAGAGCUUUGACUUUUAGUCACUAAGAAGAAUAGAGGUGGACCAUUUUCUGUGGAAGUGUGAGAAGCAUUUUGGUACCUCCAAAAGCUCUCUGGGGAGACUUGAUGAGCCUGAAUGAGAGGGACAAGAGGCCUGCAGGCCUGUGGGCAGGUGAGAACCCAGGAGAUGGAUCUCAGUGGGCCUCAAAGGAGCAAACAACCUACUUCAAAUUCAUGGCGGCCAUCAUCCCUCUUGAUCACGCCCAUCGAAUAAGACUUCCCCCACCUCUCCUCUUAACCCUCUCCACCCCCUCCAUCAACUCUGAGAAGAGAUGGUUCAAACAUCCAAGCCCUGGGUUGAGAUCAAGCAGGCACACAGUCCCCUUUUUAGAUGGUUGUUCUGAGAUGCCUAUGAGUUCAGGAGGUGCAGUCACAGCCCUAUCUCCAAACACAUGGGCCUUAUCUCCUACCCCACCUCAGACUACUAACUCUAUCAAUUUUCUUCAAUUCCAGCUGCAAGGUGCUCAGUGUUGUGACAAGCUGUGGGUCCUCAAAGCUGAGUACUGAAGGCUGAUUUCUGCUUCUGUUUUCAAGCCUUUCUGGACCCACUGAGGGAAGACAUUUUGUUGCUUGAAUUCAGAGGAGAAAGACAAGGGUGUUCCAGUGGCCAGCAUCCUCCUUCCUCCUGAUUUUUCAUAACAAGUGGUCAUUUCACACAGAAAUCCUGGGAGGUGAGCUGUAAAGAAUAAGCUUGGAUGGACAAGUGAGUGGCCUCUCGGCUUUGGGUGGGGGACACUGGUCCCUACUCUGGAGGAAAAAGCUGACAUAGACAGGUAAAAUUUCCCUAAAGUGACUUAAAGAGAACUGGGAACAUCUAUGUUGAAAGAUAAUUUGGUCUGCUGUAGCAUCAACAGCCGCAGCAGCAGCAGCAACAACAAUACCAUACACAAAGAGAGACAGAAGAGUGCCACAUGUGUUUGUUUUGGCACACUGGGCAAUAUUUAAUCCAUUUAGGGAGACUCAGAACUGAUAAAGUGGGAACGGGGAUCUGGGGAUUGAGACUCUUUCCUAGGAACUGAAGAAAACUGAUAGUAGUCUGAGGUAGGGUAGGAGAUAGGCCUGUGUGUUCUGGAGACAGGGCUGUGACUGCACCUGCUGGACUUGCCAGUCAGGUUGACCAUCUGGAAAAGGUGACUGUGUGCCAGUUGAUCUCAACCCAGGGCUUGGAUGUUUGAACCAUCUCUUCUCAGAGUUGAUGUAGGAGUGGAGAGGGGCGAGAGGAGAGAUGGGGAGUCUUACUAGAUGGCGCAUUCAAGGGAAAUGAUGGCAGCCAUGACUUUGAAGUAGGCUGUUUUCUUCUUUCAGGCCCACUGAGAUCCAUCUCCUGGCUUCUCAUCUGCCCACAAGCAUGCAGUUGCAUUUAUCCCCCUGCUUCACACAGACUCAUCAAGCCUCCCCAGGGAGUUUUUAAGGUGCUGAAAUGAUUCUCACACUUCCACAGAAAACAUUUACACACACAUACAUACUGGGAGGGGGGAAUAAAAAAAGUGAAAAAAGGAAGCAAAGAAGUAAAAAAGAAAAGGAAGGAAGGAAAAAGGGAAGGAAGAAAGGAAAAAAGGAAGGAAGGAAGGAAGCCCUAGGAAGGCAAAUUCUUCAAGCACAACUCUUUCAGAAGACUUUGGAGGAUGGUUCCAUCUGGGAAACUAGAUCUGGAGGAGAGUGGGCAACCCCUAGUCACUGCACACCCUCUGUCUCCUGCAUUCCUUCACUUCACCAUUAGCACCAUGGCAGCACAGAAGUGCUUCUUGCAAAUGGAAUGGAAGGCACUUGAGGCUGCAGCCACCUGAGGGGCUCAAUGCAGAAGCACACAGAGAGCUCAGCCUGGGCCUUUGGGAACAUGGAUCCUUCUGUUAACCAAUAACUUCAGUCUUGGCCAUCUGUGCCCAUAGCUGCUUUGAGCUUUAGAAUCCUGAUACCUUUCCUUGUUUCUGUCCCCUGAGGAUGACUCUCACUUCUUUAGAAAAAUCAGUCCUUAGUUUCCCUGUGGCUUACUGCUUCUGUCUGAGGAAAUCUCAAAAUCUUCUCUCUCUUCCCUCUACCCUGCUAAAAACAAAUAAGUUUGGGGUCACAAUAAAAGAGACCACCACUCUAACUGAAGUUUCUGGACAAGGCAGUCCAAACAUUUCUAUGUAAACACUAUCUAAUGAUUAUAACAAUACAUAGAAAAUCUUUCACUACAGCUCACCAUAAAGAGUACGGAACAAUUUCUGAGCAAUAACACAACACAUCAAGAGGACAAAGGGAAGGAGAUGUGUGGGCAUCUCCAUCUUAACAUCCCACCUUCUGAGAAUUGAUGCCCCUCUCCCUACCAUUUCUGGUCUCAACAGUAAUGGCAUUCGGGGUAGAUAUAAGAGCUUUGACUUUUAGUCACUAAGAAGAAUAGAGGUGGGCCAUUUUCUGUGGAAGUGUGAGAAGCAUUUUGGUACCUCUAAAAGCUCUCUGGGGAGACUUGAUGAGCCUGAAUGAGAGGGACAAGAGGCCUGCAGGCCUGUGGGCAGGUGAGAACCCAGGAGAUGGAUCUCAGUGGGCCUCAAAGGAGCAAACAACCUACUUCAAAUUCAUGGCGGCCAUCAUCCCUCUUGAUCACGCCCAUCGAAUAAGACUUCCCCCACCUCUCCUCUUAACCCUCUCCACCCCCUCCAUCAACUCUGAGAAGAGAUGGUUCAAACAUCCAAGCCCUGGGUUGAGAUCAAGCAGGCACACAGUCCCCUUUUUAGAUGGUUGUUCUGAGUUGCCUAUGAGUUCAGGAGCUGCAAGGUGCUCAGUGUUGUGACAAGCUGUGGGUCCUCAAAGCUGAGUACUGAAGGCUGAUUUCUGCUUCUGUUUUCAAGCCUUUCUGGACCCACUGAGGGAAGACAUUUUGUUGCUUGAAUUCAGAGGAGAAAGACAAGGGUGUUCCAGUGGCCAGCAUCCUCCUUCCUCCUGAUUUUUCAUAACAAGUGGUCAUUUCACACAGAAAUCCUGGGAGGUGAGCUGUAAAGAAUAAGCUUGGAUGGACAAGUGAGUGGCCUCUCGGCUUUGGGUGGGGGACACUGGUCCCUACUCUGGAGGAAAAAGCUGACAUAGACAGGUAAAAUUUCCCUAAAGUGACUUAAAGAGAACUGGGAACAUCUAUGUUGAAAGAUAAUUUGGUCUGCUGUAGCAUCAACAGCCGCAGCAGCAGCAGCAACAACAAUACCAUACACAAAGAGAGACAGAAGAGUGCCACAUGUGUUUGUUUUGGCACACUGGGCAAUAUUUAAUCCAUUUAGGGAGACUCAGAACUGAUAAAGUGGGAACGGGGAUCUGGGGAUUGAGACUCUUUCCUAGGAACUGAAGAAAACUGAUAGUAGUCUGAGGUAGGGUAGGAGAUAGGCCUGUGUGUUCUGGAGACAGGGCUGUGACUGCACCUGCUGGACUUGCCAGUCAGGUUGACCAUCUGGAAAAGGUGACUGUGUGCCAGUUGAUCUCAACCCAGGGCUUGGAUGUUUGAACCAUCUCUUCUCAGAGUUGAUGUAGGAGUGGAGAGGGGCGAGAGGAGAGAUGGGGAGUCUUACUAGAUGGCGCAUUCAAGGGAAAUGAUGGCAGCCAUGACUUUGAAGUAGGCUGUUUUCUUCUUUCAGGCCCACUGAGAUCCAUCUCCUGGCUUCUCAUCUGCCCACAAGCAUGCAGUUGCAUUUAUCCCCCUGCUUCACACAGACUCAUCAAGCCUCCCCAGGGAGUUUUUAAGGUGCUGAAAUGAUUCUCACACUUCCACAGAAAACAUUUACACACACAUACAUACUGGGAGGGGGGAAUAAAAAAAGUGAAAAAAGGAAGCAAAGAAGUAAAAAAGAAAAGGAAGGAAGGAAAAAGGGAAGGAAGAAAGGAAAAAAGGAAGGAAGGAAGGAAGCCCUAGGAAGGCAAAUUCUUCAAGCACAACUCUUUCAGAAGACUUUGGAGGAUGGUUCCAUCUGGGAAACUAGAUCUGGAGGAGAGUGGGCAACCCCUAGUCACUGCACACCCUCUGUCUCCUGCAUUCCUUCACUUCACCAUUAGCACCAUGGCAGCACAGAAGUGCUUCUUGCAAAUGGAAUGGAAGGCACUUGAGGCUGCAGCCACCUGAGGGGCUCAAUGCAGAAGCACACAGAGAGCUCAGCCUGGGCCUUUGGGAACAUGGAUCCUUCUGUUAACCAAUAACUUCAGUCUUGGCCAUCUGUGCCCAUAGCUGCUUUGAGCUUUAGAAUCCUGAUACCUUUCCUUGUUUCUGUCCCCUGAGGAUGACUCUCACUUCUUUAGAAAAAUCAGUCCUUAGUUUCCCUGUGGCUUACUGCUUCUGUCUGAGGAAAUCUCAAAAUCUUCUCUCUCUUCCCUCUACCCUGCUAAAAACAAAUAAGUUUGGGGUCACAAUAAAAGAGACCACCACUCUAACUGAAGUUUCUGGACAAGGCAGUCCAAACAUUUCUAUGUAAACACUAUCUAAUGAUUAUAACAAUACAUAGAAAAUCUUUCACUACAGCUCACCAUAAAGAGUACGGAACAAUUUCUGAGCAAUAACACAACACAUCAAGAGGACAAAGGGAAGGAGAUGUGUGGGCAUCUCCAUCUUAACAUCCCACCUUCUGAGAAUUGAUGCCCCUCUCCCUACCAUUUCUGGUCUCAACAGUAAUGGCAUUCGGGGUAGAUAUAAGAGCUUUGACUUUUAGUCACUAAGAAGAAUAGAGGUGGGCCAUUUUCUGUGGAAGUGUGAGAAGCAUUUUGGUACCUCUAAAAGCUCUCUGGGGAGACUUGAUGAGCCUGAAUGAGAGGGACAAGAGGCCUGCAGGCCUGUGGGCAGGUGAGAACCCAGGAGAUGGAUCUCAGUGGGCCUCAAAGGAGCAAACAACCUACUUCAAAGUCAUGGCGGCCAUCAUCCCUCUUGAUCACGCCCAUCAAAUAAGACUCCCCUACCUCUCCUCUUAACCCUCUCCACCCCCUCCAUCAACUCUGAGAAGAGAUGGUUCAAACAUCCAAGCCCUGGGUUGAGAUCAAGCAGGCACACAGUCCCCUUUUUAGAUGGUCGUCCUGACUUGCCUAUGAUUUCAGGAGGUGUAGUCACAGCCCUAUCUCCAAACACAUGGGCCUUAUCUCCUACCCCACCUCAGACUACUAACUAUCAAUUUUCUUCAAUUCCAGCUGCAAGGUGCUCAGUGUUGUGACAAGCUGUGUGUCCUCAAAGCUGAGUACUGAAGGUUGAUUUCUGCUUCUGUUUUCAAGCCUUUCUGGACCCACUGAGGGAAGACAUUUUGUUGCUUGAAUUCAGAGGAGAAAGACAAGGGUGUUCCAGUGGCCAGCAUCCUCCUUCCACCUUAUUUUUCAUAACAAGUGGUCAUUUCACACAGAAAUCCUGGGAGGUGAGCUGUAAAGAAUAACCUUGGAUGGACAAGCCCACUGAGAUCCAUCUCCUGGCUUCUCCUCUGCCCACAAGCAUGCAGUUGCAUUUAUCCCCCUGCUUCACACAGACUCAUCAAGCCUCCCCAGGGAGUUUUUAAGGUGCUGAAAUGAUUCUCACACUUCCACAGAAAACAUUUACACACACAUACAUACUGGGAGUGGGAAAUAAAAAAAGUGAAAAAAGGAAGCAAAGAAGUAAAAAAGAAAAGGAAGGAAGGAAAAAGGGAAGGAAGAAAGGAAAAAAGGAAGGAAGGACGGAAACCCUAGGAAGGCAAAUUCUUCAAGCACAACUCUUUCAGAAGACUUUGCAGGAUGGUUCCAUCUGGGAAACUAGAUCUGGAGGAGAGUGGGCAACCCCUAGUCACUGCACACCCUCUGUCUCCUGCAUUCCUUCACUUCACCAUUAGCACCAUGGCAGCACAGAAGUGCUUCUUGCAAAUGGAAUGGAAGGCACUUGAGGCUGCAGCCACCUGAGGGGCUCAAUGCAGAAGCACACAGAGAGCUCAGCCUGGGCCUUUGGGAACAGGAUCCUCCUGUUAACCAAUAACUUCAGUCUUGGCCAUCUGUGCCCAUAGCUGCUUUGAGCUUUAGAAUCCUGAUACCUUUCCUUGUUUCUGUCCCCUGAGGAUGACUCUCACUUCUUUAGAAAAAUCAGUCCUUAGUUUCCCUGUGGCUUACUGCUUCUGUCUGAGGAAAUCUCAAAAUCUUCUCUCUCUUCCCUCUACCCUGCUAAAAACAAAUAAGUUUGGGGUCACAAUAAAAGAGACCACCACUCUAACUGAAGUUUCUGGACAAGGCAGUCCAAACAUUUCUAUGUAAACACUAUCUAAUGAUUAUAACAAUACAUAGAAAAUCUUUCACUACAGCUCACCAUAAAGAGUACGGAACAAUUUCUGAGCAAUAACACAACACAUCAAGAGGACAAAGGGAAGGAGAUGUGUGGGCAUCUCCAUCUUAACAUCCCACCUUCUGAGAAUUGAUGCCCCUCUCCCUACCAUUUCUGGUCUCAACAGUAAUGGCAUUCGGGGUAGAUAUAAGAGCUUUGACUUUUAGUCACUAAGAAGAAUAGAGGUGGACCAUUUUCUGUGGAAGUGUGAGAAGCAUUUUGGUACCUCCAAAAGCUCUCUGGGGAGACUUGAUGAGCCUGAAUGAGAGGGACAAGAGGCCUGCAGGCCUGUGGGCAGGUGAGAACCCAGGAGAUGGAUCUCAGUGGGCCUCAAAGGAGCAAACAACCUACUUCAAAGUCAUGGCGGCCAUCAUCCCUCUUGAUCACGCCCAUCAAAUAAGACUCCCCUACCUCUCCUCUUAACCCUCUCCACCCCCUCCAUCAACUCUGAGAAGAGAUGGUUCAAACAUCCAAGCCCUGGGUUGAGAUCAAGCAGGCACACAGUCCCCUUUUUAGAUGGUCGUCCUGAGUUGCCUAUGAGUUCAGGAGGUGCAGUCACAGCCCUAUCUCCAAACACAUGGGCCUUAUCUCCUACCCCACCUCAGACUACUAACUAUCAAUUUUCUUCAAUUCCAGCUGCAAGGUGCUCAGUGUUGUGACAAGCUGUGGGUCCUCAAAGCUGAGUACUGAAGGCUGAUUUCUGCUUCUGUUUUCAAGCCUUGCUGGACCCACUGAGGGAAGACAUUUUGUUGCUUGAAUUCAGAGGUCAACAUUUGUUUGUCUUUUUUCAUACUGACCUUUUUUAAAGGCAGUUUUUUAAAUGACAUUCCUGCACUGCAGUAAACUUUCUUUUCCUUUCUCAUUAACACACAUCCCUGUCACAUGCAGACAUUUGAUAUGUGUUAAGUGUACAGUGCACAUUGUGAGUGCUUCUUCUAACUUUUUCUGUCCAAAUUCUCCUAUCUUUGUCAUUAAACUUUAUUUUAAGUGUAUAGGCAUGUUCUUUUUCUGUGAAAUUCCCCUCAACACGAUUUGCUCUAAAAUUUCCCCUGCUUCACUUGCUCUCCUUCUGCUUUUUAAGAGCUGUUAUGGAUUCUGCUCUAGCUCCCAACAAAGUCCAGUUGUGCUCUAUUGCUUAGAAUUCUCAACCUUAUUAAGUCUUACAUUCUGUCUUCUCAGGAGAAAGACAAGGGUGUUCCAGUGGCCAGCAUCCUCCUUCCACCUGAUUUUUCAUAACAAGUGGUCAUUUCACACAGAAAUCCUGGGAGGUGAGCUGUAAAGAAUAAGCUUGGAUGGACAAGUGAGUGGCCCCUCGGCUUUGGGUGGGCGACACUGGUUCCUACUCGAGGAAAAAGCUGACAUAGACAGGUAAAAUUUCCCUAAAGUGACUGAAAGAGAACUGGGAACAUCUAUGUUGAAAGAUAAUUUGGUCUGCUGUAACAACAACAGCAGCAUCAGCAGCAACAACAAUACCAUACACAAAGAGAGACAGAAGAGUGCCACAUGUGUUUGUUUUGGCACACUGGGCAAUAUUUGAUUCAUUUAGGGAAACUCAGAACUGAUAAACUGGGAACGGGGAUCUGGGGAUUGAGACUCUUUCCUAGGAACUGAAGAAAACUGAUAGUAGUCUGAGGUAGGGUAGGAGAUAAGGCCUGUGUGUACUGGAGACAGGGCUGUGACUGCACCUGCUGGACUUGCCAGUCAGGUUGACCAUCUGGAAAAGGUGACUGUGUGCCAGUUGAUCUCAACCCAGGGCUUGGAUGUUUGAACCAUCUCUUCUCAGAGUUGAUGUAGGGGUGGAGAGGGGCGAGAGGAGAGAUGGGGAGUCUUACAAGAUGGCACAUUCAAGGGAAAUGAUGGCAGCCAUGACUUUGAAGUAGGCUGUUUUCUUCUUUCAGGCCCACUGAGAUCCAUCUCCUGGCUUCUCUUCUGCCCACAAGCAUGCAGUUGCAUUUAUCCCCCUGCUUCACACAGACUCAUCAAGCCUCCCCAGGGAGUUUUUAAGGUGCUGAAAUGAUUCUCACACUUCCACAGAAAACAUUUACACACACAUACAUACUGGGAGUGGGGAAUAAAAAAAGUGAAAAAAGGAAGCAAAGAAGAAAAAAAGAAAAGGAAGGAAGGAAAAAGGGAAGGAAGAAAGGAAAAAAGGAAGGAAUGAAGGAAGCCCUAGGAAGGCAAAUUCUUCAAGCACAACUCUUUCAGAAGACUUUGCAGGAUGGUUCCAUCUGGGAAACUAGAUCUGGAGGACAGUGGGCAACCCCUAGUCACUGCACACCAUCUGUCUCCUGCAUUCCUUCACUUCACCAUUAGCACCAUGGCAGCACAGAAGUGCUUCUUGCAAAUGGAACGGAAGGCACUUGAGGCUGCAGCCACCUGAGGGGCUCAAUGCAGAAGCACACAGAGAGCUUGCCUGGCUCCUUUGGGAACAUGGAUCCUUCUAUUAACCUAUAACUUCAGUCUUGGCCAUCUGUGCCCAGAGCUGCUUUGAGCAUUAGAGUCCUCAUAACUUUCCUUGUUUCUGUCCCCUGAGGAUGACUCUCACUUCUCUAGAAUAAUCCGUCCUUAGUUGCCCCGUGGCUUACUGCUUCUGUCUGAGAAAAGUCUCAAAAUCUUCUCUCUCUUCCCUCUACCCUGCUAAAAACAAAUAAGUUUGGGGUCACAAUAAAAGAGACCACCAAUCUAACUGAAGUUUCUGGACAAGGCAGUCCAAACAUUUCUAUGUAAACACUAUCUAAUGAUUAUAACAAUACAUAGAAAAUCUUUCAAUACAGCUCACCAUAAAGAGUACGGAACAAUUUCUGAGCAAUAACACAACACAUCAAGAGGACAAAGGGAAGGAGAUGUGUGGGCAUCUCCAUCUUAACAUCCCACCUUCUGAGAAUUGAUGCCCCUCUCCCUUCCAUUUCUGGUCUCAACAGUAAUGGCAUUCGGGGUAGAUAUAAGAGCUUUGACUUUUAGUCACUAAGAAGAAUAGAUGUGGGCCAUUUUCUGUGGAAGUUUGAGAAGCAAUUUGGUACCUCCAAAAGCUCUCUGGGGAGACUUGAUGAGCCUGAAUGAGAGGGACGAGAGGUCUGCAGGCCUGUGGGCAGGUGAGAACCCAGGAGAUGGAUCUCAGUUGGCCUCAAAGGAGCAAACAACCUACUUCAAAGUCAUGGCGGCCAUCAUCCCUCUUGAUCACGCCCAUCGAAUAAGACUUCCCCCACCUCUCCUCUUAACCCUCUCCACCCCCUCCAUCAACUCUGAGAAGAGAUGGUUCAAACAUCCAAGCCCUGGGUUGAGAUCAAGCAGGCACACAGUCCCCUUUUUAGAUGGUCGUCCUGAGUUGCCUAUGAGUUCAGGAGGUGCAGUCACAGCCCUAUCUCCAAACACAUGGGCCUUAUCUCCUACCCCACCUCAGACUACUAACUCUAUCAAUUUUAUUCAAUUCCAGCUGCAAGGUGCUCAGUGUUGUGACAAGCUGUGGGUCCUCAAAGCUGAGUACUGAAGGCUGAUUUCUGCUUCUGUUUUCAAGCCUUUCUGGACCCACUGAGGGAAGACAUUUUGUUGCUUGAAUUCAGAGGAGAAAGACAAGGGUGUUCCAGUGGUCAGCAUCCUCCUUCCACCUUAUUUUUCAUAACAAGUGGUCAUUUCACACAGAAAUCCUGGGAGAGAGUCUACAAACUUGGCUGAGCAGGUAAGAGCUCUUGCUGCUCUUCCAGAGGAUCCUGGUUCCAUUUCCAGAUGCCACAUGAUGGUUCACGAUUGUCUUUAACUCCAGUUCCAGAGGCUCUGACACCUUCUGGCCUUACUGGGGACAUGAUUCUGUUCUCAAUGUACUAAAGCUCUCAGAUACCAGAGGAACAGAGCUCUUAAGUGAUCUUCAAAAGUCACUUAAAGGAAAAGAAAUAACUGUGUCACAGGAUUUAUCAGGACUCCUCAUGAACUUAGGAAUUCAUUUCCAGCCCUCCUGCUGUGUCCCUACUGGAAUUGAGUUUCCCCUGGAUGGUUCAGGAUAGAAGCUCACAGCUUACAAGCAAGAUUCCCACUGCUUUCACACACCAAGGCUUGUGCUAGUAAUGUCAGCCCGGGUCUGUCCUUUUUAAGGUAUUAUUUUAUGUGUAUAGGUACUGUACCCUCCUAUAUGUUGUGAACCAGGUGUGCGCAGUGCCGUCAGGGGCUAGAACAAGGCAACAAGUGAUUGUGAGUUGUCAUGUGUGUGCAGGGAGUGGAGCUCGAAUCCUCUGGAAGAGCAGCCAAGUGCACUUAACAACUGAGCCAUCUCUCCAGCUCCACUGUCCUCCCUAAGAUGGAAUACUAAAAACCAAAGAGGGAAUCAAUGAUGCAGACUCUUGUAGAAAAUAUUGAAUCCAAAAUAGAGGCCCCCUGGAUGUUGUGUUUUAACAAGCAGUCAUCCAAAAAAUAAAGAGAAUUUUUCAGCUACCCA